Molecule: ribosomal RNA, 409 nt
Filed under: uncultured bacterium
Lineage: Bacteria
Description: partial 16S ribosomal RNA
Rfam family: Bacterial small subunit ribosomal RNA
Source: RNAcentral
UGGGGAAUAUUGCACAAUGGGCGCAAGCCUGAUGCAGCCAUGCCGCGUGUGUGAAGAAGGCCUUCGGGUUGUAAAGCACUUUCAGCGAGGAGGAAGGUGGUGGACUUAAUACGUUCAUCAAUUGACGUUACUCGCAGAAGAAGCACCGGCUAACUCCGUGCCAGCAGCCGCGGUAAUACGGAGGGUGCAAGCGUUAAUCGGAAUUACUGGGCGUAAAGCGCACGCAGGCGGUUUGUUAAGUCAGAUGUGAAAUCCCCGGGCUCAACCUGGGAACUGCAUUUGAAACUGGCAAGCUAGAGUCUCGUAGAGGGGGGUAGAAUUCCAGGUGUAGCGGUGAAAUGCGUAGAGAUCUGGAGGAAUACCGGUGGCGAAGGCGGCCCCCCUGGANGAAGACUGACGCUCAGGUGCG